RNAcentral lists this ribosomal RNA (441 nucleotides) under uncultured bacterium. RNAcentral describes it as "partial 16S ribosomal RNA". It matches the Rfam family "Bacterial small subunit ribosomal RNA", at positions 338 to 795 of the family's 1533-position model. The record is from RNAcentral.
CCUACGGGUGGCAGCAGUGGGGAAUAUUGCACAAUGGGGGAAACCCUGAAGCAGCGACGCCGCGUGAGCGAGGAAGUAUCUCGGUAUGUAAAGCUCCAUUUGUAGGGACGAAAAAAGACGGUACCUGACCUAGAAGCCCCGGCUAACUACGUGCCAGCAGCCGCGGUAAUACGCAGGGGGCAAGCGUUAUCCGGAUAUACUGGGUGUAAAGGGAGCGUAGGCGGUAAGGCAAGCCAGAAGUGAAAGGGCAGGGCUCAACCCUGUACAUGCUUGUGAAACUGUGGGGCUAGAGUGCAGGAGAGGUAGGUGGAAUGCCUGGUGUAGCGGUGAAAUGCGUAGAUAUUAGGAAGAACACCGAUGGCGAAGGCAGCUUACUGGGCUGUAACUGACGUUGAGGCUCGAAAGCGUGGGGAGCAAACAGGAUUAGAUACCCUAGUAGUC